GUGCCAGCAGCCGCGGUAAUACGUAGGGGGCAAACGUUGUCCGGAUUUACUGGGUGUAAAGGGUGCUCAGGCGGUCUUGUAAGUUAGAAGUGAAAUCCUAGGGCUCAACUCUGGAACUGCUUUUAAUACUGCAAGGCUUGAAUAUGGAAGAGGAGGGUGGAAUUUCUGGUGUAGCAGUGAAAUGCGUAGAUAUCAGAAAGAACACCAGUGGCGAAGGCGGCCCUCUGGUCCAUUAUUGACGCUAAAGCACGAAAGCGUGGGGAGCAAACAGGAUUAGAAACCCCCGUAGUCC
This 292-nucleotide ribosomal RNA is filed under the name uncultured bacterium. Its description in RNAcentral is "partial 16S ribosomal RNA". It matches the Rfam family "Bacterial small subunit ribosomal RNA", at positions 505 to 796 of the family's 1533-position model. The record is from RNAcentral.